GCAGGGCAUGGUAGUGCAUGCCUGUAGUCCCAGCUACUUGGGAGGCUGAGGUGGGAAGAUCACUUGAGUCCAGAAGUUCUGGGCUGCAGUGAAUUAUGCUGAUCGGAUGUCCAUAUUAAGUUUGGCAUCAAUAUGGUGACCUCCUGGGAGCAGGGGGCCACCAGGCUGCCUAAGGAGGGAUGAACUGGCCUAGGUGGGAAACAUAGGUCAAGAAUUAAGAUAAACUGUAUAACAUGAAUGGAAAAGUUGGGGUUGGAGAAAAUAUCUCUG
Molecule: unclassified non-coding RNA, 270 nt
Organism: Heterocephalus glaber (naked mole-rat)
Lineage: Eukaryota; Metazoa; Chordata; Mammalia; Rodentia; Bathyergidae
Rfam family: Metazoan signal recognition particle RNA
About the family: The signal recognition particle (SRP) is a universally conserved ribonucleoprotein. It is involved in the co-translational targeting of proteins to membranes.
Source: Ensembl